AGAGAGGGGAGAGAUGGGAAGAGAGAGGACAGAAAGAGAGGGAAGGAGAGAGUGGAGAGACAGUAGAGGGGAAGAGAGAGGACAGAAGGAAGGAGGGAAGGAGAGAGUAGAGAGAGGGGAAGGAGAGAGUAGAGAGACAGUAGAGGGGAAGAGAGAGGACAGAAGGAGAGGGAAGGAGAGAGUAGAGAGAAGGAAGGAGAGAGGACAGAAGGAGAGGGGAAGAGAGAGGACAGAAAGAGAGGGAAGGAGAGAGUAGAGAGAGGGGAAGAGAGAGGACAGAAGGAGAGGGAAGAGGGGUAGAGAGAGGACAAAGAACAGGAGAGAGUAGACACCUCCGAGGUAGAUAACAGGUAUAUACUAAUAUACUAUACUUGGCCUGUAUCAUUCUAACACGUUGAUUUGUCUCUUAAUAAGACCUGUUCUAGUGCCAAUGGACCUGCUAUUCAGUGGAAGGCAGGAAAAGAGAAGUAUCUUUCUGAAACACCUUCAAGGACAGCAGAGAAUAACAGGAAAGGAGCUGGGAGAGGAUGUGUAUUCACCCCCCUCUCUGUGUCCCCUACAUGAGAUUACAGGACCUAAAACGACUUCAUACAAGUACAAAGUUCUGUUCUGUGUUCCCAGCUUAUUUAUUUAGGCAGAGCAAACAGUUUGAUAAAAAAUAUGCACUGUAGUCACAGGUAUGCACUGUAGUCACAUGUAUGCACUGUAGUCACAGGUAUGCACUGUAGUCACAUGUAUGCACUGUAGUCACAGGUAUGCACUGUAGUCACAGGUAUGCACUGUAGUCACAUGUAUGCACUGUAGUCACAUGUAUGCACUGUAGUCACAUGUAUGCACUGUAGUCACAGGUAUGCACUGUAGUCA
Molecule: long non-coding RNA, 864 nt
Organism: Oncorhynchus tshawytscha (Chinook salmon)
Lineage: Eukaryota; Metazoa; Chordata; Actinopteri; Salmoniformes; Salmonidae
Source: Ensembl